CAGCAGCCGCGGUAAUACGGAGGGUGCAAGCGUUAAUCGGAAUUACUGGGCGUAAAGCGCGCGUAGGUGGCUAAGUCAGCCAGGUGUGAAAGCCCCGGGCUCAACCUGGGAACGGCAUCUGGAACUGCUUGGCUAGAGUGCAGGAGAGGAAGGUAGAAUUCCCGGUGUAGCGGUGAAAUGCGUAGAGAUCGGGAGGAAUACCAGUGGCGAAGGCGGCCUUCUGGACUGACACUGACACUGAGGUGCGAAAGCGUGGGUAGCAAACAGGAUUAGAUACCCUGGUAGUCCACGCCGUAAACGAUGUCAACUAGCCGUUGGGUCCCUUGAGGACUUAGUGGCGCAGCUAACGCAAUAAGUUGACCGCCUGGGGAGUACGGCCGCAAGGUUAAAACUCAAAGGAAUUGACGG
RNAcentral lists this ribosomal RNA (408 nucleotides) under uncultured Cobetia sp. Its description in RNAcentral is "bacterial SSU rRNA". It matches the Rfam family "Bacterial small subunit ribosomal RNA", at positions 509 to 916 of the family's 1533-position model. The record is from RNAcentral. Lineage: Bacteria; Pseudomonadati; Pseudomonadota; Gammaproteobacteria; Oceanospirillales; Halomonadaceae.